This 2705-nucleotide long non-coding RNA is filed under the name Coffea arabica (coffee). Its description in RNAcentral is "long non-coding RNA (CARA_LNC005772)". Lineage: Eukaryota; Viridiplantae; Streptophyta; Magnoliopsida; Gentianales; Rubiaceae. The record is from RNAcentral.
UGAUUUGAUGGAGCAGUUGUCUGGUCCCAGCCAGAGGUAUAUCCACCAGAGGUAGGUUGAGGGGGAUAACCAGGGUAAGGUGGCUGAUUCAUGUUAUACUGAGGAGCAGGGCCAGGGUAAGCUCCAGGCUGAAGGUAACCAUAGCCAGGUUGUUGCAUUGGUGGACCAGGAGGAGCCCAGCUUGCAGGAGGCCGAGCUUGGUAACCUUGCUGAGGAUAACCUCCUCCCAUAGAAGAAUUACGCAUACGAUUCUGCAUGAAUUCGAUAUCUUAAAUGAACAAUGCAGAUCUCACUCAAUGCAUACAAUACAACAUACAACGAAGAGAUAAGUGGAAACUGUUACACAGGUACCCAUAAAAGUGCAAAUAACAGAGUAAUCAGUAUUCAAGUUGUGUACACCAAAAGUCAUAUCAUAUUAGCAUACUUCCAUUAAGCAAAGUUAGACGCCUACAUACCGUACUGGGGGGCUGGCACUAUUGAAAUACUCCAGCAGAAGCACAUCCUCUCCUAUUCGAGGCGAAUAGGUACAAAAGAAAAGGCAAGGAAAAACUAUACAGGCCUCAUAUACAAGCAAUCACCCAGAUGAUCUUCUCCAAUAGGAGCAACAGAUGAUAAAUGAAAGUAGCAACGAGAACUUUGAUAGUCUAAAUGUAAAAGAAAAUGAUGCAUCAAAUAUUCUAUCAACAUUCGUCACGCGAAUAUUAUAUUACCCUAGAAGGUUAUGCAAUCAUAUGUACUUUAAAUCACCAAAAGAUUUUCACCAAACUGAGACAAAAACGGCAGAAAUGAAUGUCCAAAAGGAGAUCCAGUUACCAAUUACUCUUCAUGGGAGGGGGGGAAUGCAUGUGAAGAGAAAGGGUAACAGUUAGCAGAGUUUAGAAGACAGUGAGUUUGUUUGGACAAAGAGAUUUUGGAAAAAAAUAUUUUGCCUCACAAAUCCCAAUCAUCUUUUUAUCUUCCCAAUCACCUUUUUAUCUCACAUACAUCACAUCACAAAAAGUGCUACAGUAAAUAUCUCAAAUAAAUCAUCUAAAUAAACUCUUAUCCAAACAAACUCAGUCUAUUCAAGAAAAUAAGGGAUAAAGAAAAAAGGUUUCCAGCAAACAAACCAGAAUAGAGUAACAAGUUAACCUCUUCUGGCUGAAUUUGAGGUUUUACACAUCCAGUUAUCCCCCCACACAACAAAAAUAUAAGAGACAAUUAAUGUUAAAUAGGAAUACGAAGAAAAAAUUCAAAUCGCAAUAACUUCCGAUCAUUUCCCUUGAUUCAAGCUAAAUAAAAUCAAGAAAAUGCCAAGAUAAAUUAUCCAUUUGCCUAUGUUUCAUUUGCAAUCAGACAGAGAGUUAAUGGCAGUCAGCUCCCUUGCAUCUAGGCCAAAUUGGUCCUUAUCUCCACAAUAUGAGGACAUUUGUCAGAAAAGAGGUUCAGAACCAUACCAGAAAAAUGCUGAGGGAACACCAACACUAAAUGGGUCCAUGUUGGUGUCACUAAAGUCCAUUACCUACUAACCCUACAAUUGUUCCCAACAACAAAAUCAGUAUUAAGAUACACAAAAAGAACCAGCAUAAUCCAAGACAAGAAUGUCGGAACCCGAAAGCUAUAUACUCAAGCAUUUCAACUGAGGAUGACUGCAUAACUUAGUUCAAGAUAUAUCCUUCAAUAUCACAAGAACUUUAUAAAGCCUUAGUUACCUCAUGGAAAAGGCUGAUCAGAUACCUGCCUCACACAAAACCACAUAUCCAGAUAUCGAAUAGUUCAAUAUAGGAUUAACGCAUAUAUCUCAAUAACCAAUGAAGCCAUCAACACCACCAAACCUGAACUUUGACUUUCUACUUCCAAGAUCCCCAGUCUUAAUUCCACGACUCAUCAAAACUGAUCUGUAAACAAUAAUGAACUGCAAAAGAAUAUACAGCUUGGAACACCAAAUGUGAUCCUGCAGAGAUAUUCCAUAUGCCAAAAUCUGUUCUCUAUCUAUAUUAGAGAGGUGUACUAAUUUCAGAAUAGCACACCACUAAGAGCCUAUUGUCAAACUGAAACUAAGCAUCUAAACAAUUCAUACUCUGAAGAUAUAUUAUCAUAUUUAAGGAGGGAGAGUUAAAUGGUUGGCAAUACUAGCACUUGCUUUGGACACAUUCGAACCAAGUAUGAUUCAGAAACAGGAAAGAUGUCCAAAAAGUCUGAGAACCUAUCACCUCGCAAAACCCACAGCAUCAGAAAGCCAGCAAUAAGCAAAACAGUCACAUCAAAAUGUAGUUUCCAUGUUGUGAAGUAAGUAACAUCAUAGUAAGGAAGCUACACCCCUAAAAAAAGUCCACUACUUAAAAGCAACACAUAACAAAUAUAAAAAACAACUAAACCAAAAAGGCAUUCAUAUUGCAAUAGCAAAACACAUCUAACUAUCAGAUUGUGAACAAUUUAACUGGAUCUAAAGGCCCAAUAGCAAAGAAAGGGAGGCAGAAAAAAAUAACUCUAAGACCAAACCAUGAAUAAACAGCAGUAUACAUGGUUUAAAUGUUUUGAAAAGAUAAUGGGUUGCAUCUACUUGUUACCAAGCUCAAGCUUGAUCUCCUGUCUGCGUGUGCAGACUAACAAGCAGACAUCCAGGCAAAAGUCCAAAAAAUGAAUCAUAGCAAUCAAAUUUCUUCUCAAGGGCAACUAAAUGCCUGCCAGAGAUGAAACUCAAAUACUUAUGGUCAUCAAAACAU